Molecule: RNA transcript, 1578 nt
Organism: Chinchilla lanigera (long-tailed chinchilla)
Lineage: Eukaryota; Metazoa; Chordata; Mammalia; Rodentia; Chinchillidae
Gene: Pierce1
Gene name: chromosome unknown open reading frame, human C9orf116
Exons: 4
Source: RefSeq, a predicted model, not a curated record
UCCCCGGGCCGGGGGGCUCCAGAAGCCCUACUGCUCAGUCAGCGUCAGAUCCUCACUUGCCCAGUGCGCGGGGGGCACUGCAGACCCUCGGUUUCCUGUUCGGGACCCAAGGCCUUGGGCUGCAUUUGCCCCGACGUCGCUUCCUGCUGUAUUUUGGGACAGCCCUGCGGCUAACCCAGGGUCCGCGCAAUGAGCUGGGAGCUGGGGGCUUCUCCACAGGACAGUCCUCCUCCUAACUCCUCGCCGUCCGGACCUGUCCAGCCCUCCUCAUUCACUCGCCCCGAAGGUUCUAGACCUUCCAGGGGAGGGCCUGUGUCCCUUGGCGCUGUGCCAUUAAGAACUGGCCCCUCGUCGGUCACGUGACGCUGUCGCCUAGCAACGAGAGCCACGCCGCAGCCUUUGCUUGGCUGAGCAGAGGCGAGAUGUCCGAGGAAAACCCCGAGGAGCGCGCGGAGGCUGCGGCGCCCAAGGCCGAGGCGUGUCCGGAGAAAACCAGCGACUACUACCGCGUGAGCGAGCAUCUGCCGGUCCGGUUCAACAACCCGGGGUGGUUUCGAGGCUACAGAGCCAAGGAGGCUGCCUCGGUGUACAGGACCAGUAACCAGGCUUAUGGGAGCAGAGCACCCACAGUGCACGAGAUGCCGAAAGUAUUUCACUCAAGUUCAAGUAAGUUUUCCAGACAGCUCUCAGCUAGUGGAAUGUUCCGGGAUAAUACGUUCAAUGUCUGCAUGGAGAAGAGCCUCGUGACGGGCCCAGACAACUACAUCACCCCCUAUGACAGGCUUAACUUCCACCCCAGUUACAACGUCAGCAGACCGUCCAUCUGCGACUAGGGGCGAGGCACCCCUCCCGGAGUCUUCUCUAGGCUCUGCCUUCGCGAUUUGCCCCAUUGUAGAGGAAACUACUAACGCCAUCCUGAGGCCACACCCUCAAUGAGACCAGGCCCUAAGGCUCCACCUCCAGGCCCAGUAACAGAUGCAUUGAGGACAUUUCCAACACAUGAACUUGGGGUUGCAUUCAAGCCACAGCGCUGUCCAUCUUCCUGGAAUUCAGUGACCAUGUUUCCCUAUCCUCCUGCGGCCAUCCUGGGCUCUGAACCCUCCCUGGGGGUGGGCUGGGUCGGAGGCUCAAGGCUGCCAGCCCUGGCCCCAGAGACGAAGCCUAAGUUUCUUCAGUGGCAGAGGAGCUGUGGUGAUUAGAAGUCUCAGGACCUGCAUCUUCUAACAGAUUUCCAGCCUGAGAUCUUUGAGAGAAAAAUGAGUUCAGAUGAACUGAUCUAAUCGAGGGCUGCAAGAGCCUGCUUUGUUUGUGAGCACAGCAUACAAAACAGAUGGCUAGGAACAUAACAGGGAAAUGGGGUGUGACCCCGCCCCUUACCCACUUGUUAUGGUCUCCUAAUCUUAAAGCCUCCAGGGAAAGGUGGUGGACACACCGAGGGCGAGGAGUCAGUUCUCCCGGACAUCAGAGCAGAGCAGGGAUGCAGCGAUUUCUGCGCCCCUCUCCGCUGCACGUGUGAAUGGACCCUUGCUUUGUUUGGCCUUUUUGUUCCACUUGGAAAUUAAAAUUUGGACAAAACUA